GAGUGCAGCACAGAGCAUUCUGGGUUUGUAGGUUGGUCUGUGUUGUUAGAUGAUAGUGGAGGAAAUGCAAGAAUUCGUCGAGGUUUUGGGAUUGUUUGGCCGUGGGAUUUACCCCCUCUUUUCAAUGUGUUGUGUGCGUACAUUUAAAUCAAGAGGGAAGCCUGCUGGAGAGUGCCUGAGCUUCUUUCUCCAAGACACUCACUGCGUUGAGAAGUCAUAUGCUUCUUGGGAGGGAUGACAAAGAGUGCCUGCCUUGAACUCUUUUAAGUUCACUAAGAUGCUGUAUUUUUCAGCUGGACUGUCAUCUUUGUGCUGUGUUGCAAUUUUGCAUUUUUCACAGAUGCUUGCAAACUUGACUUUGUGGACGAUGUAGCCUGCAAGAUGGAAGAGAACACAUUUCUCUGUUUUUGUGAGGUCAGUUGCAGCUCUGUUCACUGCCAUCAGCUGUUCCACUCUGACUGACGGAGUGAUAUUUUGCUCCACUGUAUCCAGGAAGUCUGCCAAAAAGCUGCUGUCAUCUUCCUGGUAGCUCCCAGACCUGAUGGUGGUGAGGAACUGCCUCACAGAUAUGAUUCGCAGUGCAUGAUGGAAUUCCACUGGAGUUGGGACAGGAUUUUUAGAUCUCACACAGCUGGAUGUAUUUUCAAGGCAGUCUUGUGUGAACCUUGAUGUUAACACAAACCUGUGUCCUCGUGUCAGCAUCUCCUCCUGUAUGGCUAAAACUGAUGAUGUUGCCAUUAUUAUCCCAGUCUGAACAGGCUUCCAGCCUCCCUUUUGACCAAUCUUUAUCCCACGGAAAAGAUGGACGAUGUCUUGGAGGAAGGUGAUGGCCUUUUGGUACUCCUUCAUCUUGAGCCUGCUCAGGGCUGUAAUUGGAUGGCGAGAUGACAUAAGGUCAAACCAAUGAUCAACUUGCUCCAGGAGCCAUGCCGUAGUCAUGUAGGACAGAGGGCGGUUUUCUUGCUGCACCAUGUAUUUCAGCCCAGCACUUGUUGCUUUACUGAAUACAUUUAGAGCAGGACCAGCCUUCAUCUUCUCAAAGUGACUUGGUUCGAUGGCUGCAGCUGAUAGAUGGGGAGCUAUUUUUAAUGCCAUCCCUUCUUGAAAAGUUAGCAAGUCCUUAAUAGGAACCACUGAAACCUUGUUAGAAAGGAGCUUCUCUUUGUUUACAAUGUCCUCAGGGAUUCUUAACACCUGUCCACGGACAAGGGCACUUUUAGAUUUUUUACCAGAUGUGUUGCUGGAUGUGGCACUGAGGUUUUAUUGUGGUCAACUCCAAAGGAUUUCCACAUGGCCUGGUUAGGGCUACCCAUGUCGGUGGUGACAUUAAGCACAUGCAGCCCUAUGGAUGCUGCCCUCUGUAUUAUUUCAAUUAUUAUUGGCCUGUACUCUGCUCCAUUGGUAGAACUGCCACUGUAAUGAUAUGCCACUACUUGUUUCCACCGUGUUGUGCUUCCCGCCAACAUAAACACACAGGCAUGUGUUGCUACUCCUGUGUGACCUGGUAAGGUCACGUCACCAUACAGUUUGCCAGUAAGCAUGUGCAACUCCACACUUGGUGUGAUGGCCAUUUCAUCCAAGGUCAACACACACUCCCUUUCAAGCUCUGUCAAUCCGUCUAUCUUCAGUUUUAGGAAAUCAAAGACCUCUGUCAACACACCAGACUCAAAUUUAACACACUGCAUCCUUCACUGCAGGGUUCUUAUUCCUGGCAGGGGAAUCUGCAAUUCCUGCAGGGUAAUUAUUAAGAGUUUUUACUCAUUAUACCUGUGUCACCCACCUGUAACACUAUAGCUGUGAUCAGCAGCUAUAGGCUCUAUAUUUACAGGUCCAGUGGUGCAUCGUGGCAUAGGGGCCCUCCUUUUUUUCAUCAUGGGGCGAUGCACAAAGAUGGUGGGAAUAGCAUCUGCUCUCAGCCUAAUCUUGCCCUUUUUGGUCUUGACAAACUGGUCUGCCUCAAAAUGUGCCUGCAGAAUGAUCACAAGUACCACAUGGGCGUUCAGUGGAGCCUUAAGACUGCCUGCAAUGAGACGGCACCCUCACCCUGUACCAACCCUGCUGCAAUUUUUUCACUGUUGCUUAUUUUUAAUAAACCAAACCUUGUCUCCC
Molecule: long non-coding RNA, 2109 nt
Organism: Colossoma macropomum (tambaqui)
Lineage: Eukaryota; Metazoa; Chordata; Actinopteri; Characiformes; Serrasalmidae
Exons: 3
Source: RefSeq, a predicted model, not a curated record